ACAGCACUGCUUUCAUUUUACCACAGCAAUGUGAGAGAUGUAAGCUGAGCUGUGGUUACCAUAGCAACAAAGGGAAUCUUAUUAUAAGUCAGCGCCAUACAUGUCCCCCAGAGAUAGAGGAGGACCCCAAUACCAACAAAACGCAUGGUGUAAGUGAAGAGGGGACUUUGAGUUGAGGGGAGAGGACAGAUUCCUCCCCUCCAAGAAACCACAAACAGAACUUGGCUCAAGUGACUGUGUACCGUCGCAUGAAGUAUCCGAACACAAGUCCAAGCCGUCUGUGAAAUCAGUGGUAUCUAACAUGUGAAGAAAAAAUGGAAAGCCCCAGCUAUUAGAAACACUAUAAAACAUAACCUAGACGGCAUAUCACUGAAUAACACUAUAAAACAUAUCCUAGAUGGCAGAUCACUGAAAAACACUAUAAAACAUACCCUAGACAGCAUAUCACUGAAAAACACUAUAAAACAUACCCUAGACAGCAUAUCACUGAAAGACACUAUAAAACAUACCCUAGACGGCAUAUCAUUGAAAAACACUAUAAAACAUAUCCUAGAUGGCAGAUCACUGAAAAACACUAUAAAACAUACCCUAGACAGCAUAUCACUGAAAAACACUAUAAAACAUACCCUAGACGGCAUAUCACUGAAUAACACUAUAAAACAUAUCCUAGAUGGCAGAUCACUGAAAAACACUAUAAAACAUACCCUAGACAGCAUAUCACUGAAAAACACUAUAAAACAUACCCUAGUAGGCAUAUUACUGAAAACACUAUAAAACAUACCCUAGAAGGCAUAUCACUGAAAAACACUAUAAAACAUACCCUAGUAGGCAUAUUACUGAAAACACUAUAAAACAUACCCUAGUAGGCAUAUUAUUGAAAACACUAUAAAACAUAACCUAGACGGCAUAUCACUGAAUAACACUAUAAAACAUAUCCUAGAUGGCAGAUCACUGAAAAACACUAUAAAACAUAUCCUAGAAAGGCAUAUCACUGAAAAACACUAUAAAACAUACCCUAGACAGCAUAUCACUGAAAGACACUAUAAAAUAUACCCCAGAAGGCAUAUCACUGAAAAACACUAUAAAACAUACCCUAGAUGGCAUAUCAUUGAAAAACACUAUAAAACUUACCCUAGAAGGCAGAUCACUGAAAAACACUAUAAAAUAUUCCCUAGAUAUUAAACACAGUAAAACAAAACCUCCACCCGCCGCCUUUAUACCUAAUACUAACAUAAAGCGUGAAACAAGUAUAAUAUCCAUAAACUUGUCCCUCCAGGGAAGAUAUGUCAGAAUCACCCGACAUUUCAUCCCCCUCCCCAAUGAAAUAUAGAAUAAUGAUUCCUAAGCUGUUGUACUAUUGUGAUAUCCUUCUAUGUAUCAGCU
Hyla sarda is the source of this 1383-nucleotide long non-coding RNA. RefSeq lists it as uncharacterized. The transcript is spliced from 3 exons. NCBI's taxonomy places the organism in Eukaryota, Metazoa, Chordata, Amphibia, Anura, Hylidae. The record is from RefSeq and is a predicted model, not a curated record.